RNAcentral lists this transfer RNA (73 nucleotides) under Parvibium lacunae. It matches the Rfam family "tRNA". Rfam says of the family: Transfer RNA (tRNA) molecules are approximately 80 nucleotides in length. The record is from Rfam by way of RNAcentral. RNAcentral also lists the same sequence under 1 other name. Lineage: Bacteria; Pseudomonadati; Pseudomonadota; Betaproteobacteria; Burkholderiales; Alcaligenaceae.
GCCGGCUUAGCUCAGUUGGUAGAGCAGCGCACUUGUAAUGCGAAGGUCAACAGUUCGAAUCCGUUAGCCGGCA